Molecule: ribosomal RNA, 468 nt
Filed under: uncultured bacterium
Lineage: Bacteria
Description: partial 16S ribosomal RNA
Rfam family: Bacterial small subunit ribosomal RNA
Source: RNAcentral
GACGAACGCUGGCGGCGUGCUUAACACAUGCAAGUCGAACGGUGAAGCUCCAGCUUGCUGGAGUGGAUCAGUGGCGAACGGGUGAGUAACACGUGAGCAACCUGCCCCAGACUCUGGAAUAAGCGCUGGAGACGGCGUCUAAUACUGGAUACGAGAUCAAGCCGCAUGGUUAUGGUCUGGAAAGUUUUUCGGUUUGGGAUGGGCUCGCGGCCUAUCAGCUUGUUGGUGAGGUAAUGGCUCACCAAGGCGACGACGGGUAGCCGGCCUGAGAGGGCGACCGGCCACACUGGGACUGAGACACGGCCCAGACUCCUACGGGAGGCAGCAGUGGGGAAUAUUGCACAAUGGGCGAAAGCCUGAUGCAGCGACGCCGCGUGAGGGAUGACGGCCUUCGGGUUGUAAACCUCUUUCAGCAGGGAAGAAGCGAAAGUGACGGUACCUGCAGAAGAAGCACCGGCUAACUACGUG